RNAcentral lists this ribosomal RNA (497 nucleotides) under uncultured bacterium. RNAcentral's name for it is "partial 16S ribosomal RNA". It matches the Rfam family "Bacterial small subunit ribosomal RNA", at positions 28 to 507 of the family's 1533-position model. The record is from RNAcentral.
GAUGAACGCUGGCGGCGUGCCUAAUACAUGCGAGUCGAGCGAACGGACGAGAAGCUUGCUUCUCUGAUGUUAGCGGCGGACGGGUGAGUAACACGUGGAUAACCUACCUAUAAGACUGGGAUAACUUCGGGAAACCGGAGCUAAUACCGGAUAAUAUUUUGAACCGCAUGGUUCAAAAGUGAAAGACGGUCUUGCUGUCACUUAUAGAUGGAUCCGCGCUGCAUUAGCUAGUUGGUAAGGUAACGGCUUACCAAGGCAACGAUGCAUAGCCGACCUGAGAGGGUGAUCGGCCACACUGGAACUGAGACACGGUCCAGACUCCUACGGGAGGCAGCAGUAGGGAAUCUUCCGCAAUGGGCGAAAGCCUGACGGAGCAACGCCGCGUGAGUGAUGAAGGUCUUCGGGUCGUAAAACUCUGUUAUUAGGGAAGAACAUAUGUGUAAGUAACUGUGCACAUCUUGACGGUACCUAAUCAGAAAGCCACGGCUAACUACGUG